Molecule: long non-coding RNA, 1172 nt
Organism: Pezoporus occidentalis (night parrot)
Lineage: Eukaryota; Metazoa; Chordata; Aves; Psittaciformes; Psittacidae
Exons: 3
Source: RefSeq, a predicted model, not a curated record
CCUGCACGCCCAGCAUCUCUGAACAAACAUGCAUGCCUUGGUCAAUCGUGGCUCUGAUAACUCCUCCAGGCUCCUUUCUAAUUCUGUAACAGAGAAGCUCGCAUUGGCAUGGCAUUUGCUGCAGCCAGCUGUGUCCUACUUGGAAAACGGCACUUUGCUUCUGCUUCCAGCUUCCCAGUCUGUCCCAGCUUCAGAAGAAUCCUGUGGAAAAAAGUUGAAUAUCAGUGCUCCAUCUUAAGUGUGCCUGAAUACAGGAUGCCUCACAUUUCUAAUGGAAAAAGGUAAGGAUGAGGUUCUUUUCUCUGGAAGCAUAAGGAGCUGUUGGAAUUUAAAGCAGUACUUCUUUCUACAGGCUGACAACACAGCUACCAGGUGCUUUCAAGCUGUGGAUGUUGAUAUCUGAGUCUUCCUGCUGUCUUUGAUGAGCAUGUUCUGCAGCUGAAGGCUGGCUGCUGAGGCAGGGAACCAGGCUUUGACUCGUGGAUCUUGACAGCUCCAUUGUCCCCAGGAAUGAACCUGUCACGGGAAACCGUUGCCCUUUAGGCUUAGCCCACAGGUAACUUCGAUAGGUCUUACAGAGGAUUUUGACACAGAGGACAAAAUCUUCAACUUCUGUUGAAGGAUGUGCCUAUAAAGCAUCAAAGAACAGACUGCAAAAUGUGAUAAUGCACUAAAGAGGACAUUCAGCUAAAUGUUUGCACAAUGAUUGAGAAAAAUCAAACAAUAAUUCAGUGAUUUCAGUGCAACAAAAUCAAAUAUGAUGCUCAUCACUUUCAGUACUGGCGUAUGAGUGCCCUGCAGGAUCCCAACACAGUUUGGCUUCUGAUCAUCCAAAGAAUACCACACUAUCCCCACGUGUAACCACCCCUUGUGCUUCUUGGGGUGGUAGCAGCCUUAGCUUAUGUAUCUACUCUAGUUCCAGACAGACUGCUCCUGGAGCUCUGACUUGUCCCUCUUCAUGUUUACCCAGAACAGGGCUGAGAUAACAAACACUCCUUUAGUGGCACUUGACACUUCCUCGUGCCACCCUUUAGCACCCUUCAACUUCCAUUCUUAACUCCCUAGAGACUGUUUCUGUCAUUUUAAUCUCUCAUUUUCUUGAUCCUUGACAAGCAGAGAUAGCAUUGCUCAUUUUUGCCCUCUCCCUACUCCCUUACAAGCUUGUGACAUUA